UGACACUCUGGGCCCCAUUGUCACUCUGGGCCCAAGCUUCACGAUUUUGGCAAAAAAAGAGGUUUGCUGCCAGGGACCAGAGUGGGUCACCAGAGUUACUGCUAGAGCACAGGAGGAGGAAGGCAUUGAUUAUGGCCAGUGAUGGACCCUAAGAUGAAGCUAGAUCUUAAAGCUCUACAAUACGACAGCAAUUACUGGCAAUGUUGACAGAACCUUCCACACCAUCUGUUUGAAGACUUGCUUAAACUCUAUUAAACCCUUAUAUUUCAAGAGAGAUGAUCUGUGGACCAUGGGGACCUGCUGUGAAAGAUACUCUGCCAAUACAAACAAACUG
Long non-coding RNA from Hyla sarda, 334 nucleotides. RefSeq lists it as uncharacterized. The record is from RefSeq and is a predicted model, not a curated record. The transcript has 3 exons. NCBI's taxonomy places the organism in Eukaryota, Metazoa, Chordata, Amphibia, Anura, Hylidae.